UUAAGUUCAGCGGGUAUUCCUACCUGAUUCGAGGUCAACCACUAAAAAGAUGGGGUUUUCCGGCAGGUCAACGUCCCACACCCAGAACGAGAAGUAACUACUGCGUUCGGUUUUGGGGCGCCGCCGCCGCUUGCUUUGGGAGGCUGCAGCGCAGUCCUCCAACGCCAGGCUGGGCCUGAGGGUUGCAAUGACGCUCGAAC
Molecule: unclassified non-coding RNA, 200 nt
Filed under: Chloridium sp.
Lineage: Eukaryota; Fungi; Ascomycota; Sordariomycetes; Chaetosphaeriales; Chaetosphaeriaceae
Description: partial internal transcribed spacer 2
Source: RNAcentral